GUGAAUCAUCAAAUCUUUGAACGCAAAUUGCACUCUCUUCGGAGAGUAUGCCUGUUUGAGGGUCAGCCUAAAAAAUAGACAUAGUCGCUGUGUCGCGGUGACAUUCGCCGGGGAUUGGGUGAUAUUUAACAUUUGGGUUUUAUGCGGCUUAAAAUUUUCUUUAUGAUUCUACGAAAGUUUCUAUGAUUUAUUUUUUAUACGUUUAAGGUAA
RNAcentral lists this unclassified non-coding RNA (211 nucleotides) under Glomus sp. RNAcentral's name for it is "partial contains 5.8S ribosomal RNA and internal transcribed spacer 2". The stretch from base 1 to 65 matches the Rfam family "5.8S ribosomal RNA", at positions 84 to 154 of the family's 154-position model. The record is from RNAcentral. Lineage: Eukaryota; Fungi; Glomeromycota; Glomeromycetes; Glomerales; Glomeraceae.